RNAcentral lists this ribosomal RNA (552 nucleotides) under Diaporthe longicolla. Its description in RNAcentral is "eukaryotic LSU rRNA". The stretch from base 191 to 344 matches the Rfam family "5.8S ribosomal RNA". The record is from RNAcentral. Lineage: Eukaryota; Fungi; Ascomycota; Sordariomycetes; Diaporthales; Diaporthaceae.
UGCGGAGGGAUCAUUGCUGGAACGCGCUUCGGCGCACCCAGAAACCCUUUGUGAACUUAUACCUAUUGUUGCCUCGGCGCAGGCCGGCCUCUUCACUGAGGCCCCCUGGAAACAGGGAGCAGCCCGCCGGCGGCCAACCAAACUCUUGUUUCUACAGUGAAUCUCUGAGUAAAAAACAUAAAUGAAUCAAAACUUUCAACAACGGAUCUCUUGGUUCUGGCAUCGAUGAAGAACGCAGCGAAAUGCGAUAAGUAAUGUGAAUUGCAGAAUUCAGUGAAUCAUCGAAUCUUUGAACGCACAUUGCGCCCUCUGGUAUUCCGGAGGGCAUGCCUGUUCGAGCGUCAUUUCAACCCUCAAGCCUGGCUUGGUGAUGGGGCACUGCCUGUAAAAGGGCAGGCCCUGAAAUCUAGUGGCGAGCUCGCCAGGACCCCGAGCGUAGUAGUUAUAUCUCGCUCUGGAAGGCCCUGGCGGUGCCCUGCCGUUAAACCCCCAACUUCUGAAAAUUUGACCUCGGAUCAGGUAGGAAUACCCGCUGAACUUAAGCAUAUCAUA